This 372-nucleotide RNase P RNA is filed under the name Gammaproteobacteria bacterium. RNAcentral describes it as "RNase P RNA component class A". It matches the Rfam family "Bacterial RNase P class A". From Rfam's summary of the family: Ribonuclease P (RNase P) is a ubiquitous endoribonuclease, found in archaea, bacteria and eukarya as well as chloroplasts and mitochondria. Its best characterised activity is the generation of mature 5'-ends of tRNAs by cleaving the 5'-leader elements of precursor-tRNAs. Lineage: Bacteria; Pseudomonadati; Pseudomonadota; Gammaproteobacteria. The record is from RNAcentral.
CGAGCUGACUAGAUAAUCGCUGCUCGCUUAUGCGGGUGGAGGAAAGUCCGGGCUCCACAGGACAGGACGCCAGAUAACGUCUGGGCGGCGCAAGCCGAUGGAAAGUGCAACAGAGAGCUGAACCGCCGAUGGCUACUUCGGUAGCACAGGUAAGGGUGAAAAGGUGGGGUAAGAGCCCACCGCGCAAGUGGCAACACGAGCGGCAGGGUAAACCCCGUCCGGAGCAAGACCAAAUAGGGAAACACCGUCCACCUUGGUGGACAACACGUGGUCCGCGCGAGUUUCCGGGUAGGUUGCUUGAGGUGCUUGGUGACAGGCAUCCCAGAUGAAUGAUUAUCCUCGACAGAACCCGGCUUAUUGUCGGCUCACACU